UGGGUUGCCCGGGAUUCGAACCCGGAACUAGUCGGAUGGAGUAGAUAAUUUCCUUGUUAUGUUAAUUAAAUAAGGAAAAACCCCUCCCCAAGCCGUGCUUGCAUUUUUCAUUGCACACGGCUUUCCCUAUGUAUACAUCAUUUCCUUUCUUAUAAAGACUUUAAAAAGUUGAAUACUCAGUUGAUUUAACCCUUAUUACAUACUACAUCAACAUUUCAGAAUAGUGGAAAUCACAUUUUUAUUUUGUUAUUUCUUCAUCCAUUUAAUUUAGGAAAAAUUUCUAUUUCCAAGCUUUCAGAAUAAUUAUUUCUGAUUGAUCAGAUCAUUGAUACAAAUAAUAUCCAAAUACCAAAUCCGACUUCUAUAUACUCCCCGCAAAGUGGAAGAAGCUUUUGGGAAGGUCAAAGAAAGAACUUGUUCUUCCGACAUAAGAAAUUCUUCCAAUAAUUCCGAGCCUAAUUUUUUCAAAAAAGCACGUACAGUACUUUUGUGUUUCCGAGCCAAAGUUCUAGCACAAGAAAGUCGAAGUAUAUACUUUAUUCGAUACAAACUCUUUUUUUUGGAAGAUCCGCUAUGAUAAUGAGAAAGAUUUCUGCAUAUACGCCCAAAUCGAUCAAUAAUAUCAGAAUCUGAUAAAUCAGCCCGAACCGGCUUACUAAUGGGAUACCCUAGUACGUUACAAAAUUUCGCUUUAGCCAAUGAUCCAAUCAGAGGAAUAAUUGGAACAAGAGUAUCGAACUUCUUAAUAGCAUUAUUGAUUAGAAAUGAAUUUUCUAGAAUUUGGCUCCGUACCACUGAAGCGUUUAGUCGCACACUUGAAAGAUAGCCCACAAAUUCAAGGGAAUGAUUAGAUAAUUGGUUUAGAUAAAUCCUUCUUGGAUGAAACCACAGCGAAAAAUAACAUUGCCAAAAAGUUACAAGGUAAUAUUUCCAUUUAUUCAUCAAAAGAGGCGUCCCUUUUGAAGCCAGAAUGGAUUUUCCUUGAUACCUAACAUAAUGCAUGAAAGGAUCCUUGAACAAGCAUAGAUUGGUCUGAAAAUCCUUAACAAAGACGUCUACAAGACGUUCUAUUUUUCCAUAGAAAUAGAUUCGUUCAAGAAGAGCUCUAGAAGAUGUUGAUCGUAAAUGAGAAGAUUGGUUACGUAGAAAGACGAAAAUAGAUUCGUAUUCACAUACAUGAGAAUUAUAUAAGAAGAAGAAUAAUCUUUGAUUCCUUUUUGAAAAAGAAGAACUGGCUUUCUUUGGAGUAAUAAGACUAUUCCAAUUACAAUACUCGUGAAGAAAGAAUCGUAAUAAAUGCAAAGAAGAGGCAUCUUUUACCCAAUAGCGAAGAGUUUGAACCAAGAUUUCCAGAUGGAUGGGGUGGGGUAUUAGUAUAUCUAACACAAAAUUUAAAUGUGAAAAAUUGUCCUCUAAAAAAGGAAAUAUUGAAUGAAUUGAUCGUAAAUUAUGAGAUUUUACUAUCUUUUUUUUUUUCCCUUCUAGAGAAAGUAUUAAUCGUAGAGAAAAUGGAAUUUCCACAAUAAAUGCAAACCCCUCUGAUAUGAUUUGAGGAUACAAAUUCUUGUUGCGCCCCAAAAAUGGAUUUUGGUUAGAAUCAUUAGCAGAAAUAAGAAAAUGAUUCUGUUGAUACAUUUGAGUAAUUAACCGUUUUACAAUUAGUAAACUGGAUUUAUUGUCAUAACCUGGAUUUUCCAACAAAAUCCAUCUAUUGAAACCCUGAUCAUGAGCAAGUCCAUAAAUAUACUCCUGAAAGAUAAGUGGAUAUAAAAAGUCGUGUUGUUGAGAUCUAUCUAGCUGUAAAUAUCUUUGGAUUUCCUCCAUUUGAAAUUUUAUUUGAACCAAAGUUAGAAGAAUUUUGUGGGUUAUCAAAUGAUACAUAGUGCGAUACAGUCAAAACAAGGUAUUCUAGUAAGAAUAGAUACCUCGGAAACAGGUAAACUUAUCAACAGAUUCUCUACCCUCUCUUUUUUCCAUUUCAUUUAAUUGGUCUAUGUUAUAGGAUAACAAGAUGGUUAGAAAUCUUUUAUUUUUUGAACCUAAUCGCUCUUUUGAUUUCGGAAAAAAACUUUCUUUAUCAAUAUACUGCUUCUUUUACAUAUGCAUCUCCAUUCCAUAAUGGAGAAUGCCAAUAGUUAGGAUUCAUUAAAAAAAUAUAGAAUCCACUCAUGGGGGGAGAAGUCCUUGCCGUAUCAGGCACUAAUCUAUUUUUAACGUCUAAUUAGAUCGAGAAAUUAUUCAAAUUUAAGAACAGAAGCUGGUUGCUUUUUCUUUCCCAUAAUUAAUUGAAGCCAUAGGGCCCUAUCCAUUUAUUCAUUUGACCCAACUUUUUUUUGUUCCGUUCCAAGAAUUCGAACAGGGUUUUGUACCGAUCCGAUAAAAAUGAAAUAGACUCAGAACUCUCCGUUGAUACGACAUGCUAUUUUUUCCAUUCAUUCCCUUUCAGGAUCAGUCGCGGUCUUCCAAACUUUACCGAUGGUAUGGACGAAUUCCUCGCUUCAUCCAAAUGUGUAAAAGAUUCUAGCCGCACUUAAAAGCCGAGUACUCUACCGUUGAGUUAGCAACCC
This 2567-nucleotide transfer RNA is filed under the name Olea europaea subsp. europaea. RNAcentral's name for it is "tRNA.K". Lineage: Eukaryota; Viridiplantae; Streptophyta; Magnoliopsida; Lamiales; Oleaceae. The record is from RNAcentral.